Molecule: ribosomal RNA, 478 nt
Filed under: uncultured Verrucomicrobiota bacterium
Lineage: Bacteria; Pseudomonadati; Verrucomicrobiota
Description: bacterial SSU rRNA
Rfam family: Bacterial small subunit ribosomal RNA
Source: RNAcentral
UCGAGAAUUUUUCUCAAUGGGCGCAAGCCUGAAGGAGCGACGCCGCGUGUGGGAUGAAGGGUUUCGAUCCGUAAACCACUGUCAUUUGUGAACAAUGGUCAUUAUUUAAAAGAUGGUGACUUGAUAGUAAUGAAAGAGGAAGGGACGGCUAACUCUGUGCCAGCAGCCGCGGUAAUACAGAGGUCCCGAGCGUUGUUCGGAUUCACUGGGCGUAAAGGGUGCGUAGGUGGCAUGGUAAGUUUGAUGUGAAAGCUCAGGGCUCAACCCUGAAAUGGCAUUGAAUACUACUGUGCUGGAGGUUUGGAGGGGGGACUGGAAUUCUUGGUGUAGCAGUGAAAUGCGUAGAUAUCAAGAGGAACACCAGUGGCGAAGGCGAGUCCCUGGACAACACCUGACACUGAGGCACGAAAGCUAGGGGAGCAAACAGGAUUAGAUACCCUGGUAGUCCUAGCCCUAAACGGUGCGCAUUUGCUGUAGG